ACGGAAGGCAGCAGUGGGGGAUAUUGCACAAUGGAGGAAACUCUGAUGCAGCAACGCCGCGUGAGGGAAGACGGUCUUCGGAUUGUAAACCUAAGUUAACAGGGACGAAUAAAAUGACGGUACCUGAAGAGAAAGCUCCGGCUAACUACGUGCCAGCAGCCGCGGUAAUACGUAGGGAGCGAGCGUUGUCCGGAUUUACUGGGUGUAAAGGGUGCGUAGGCGGGUUUGCAAGUCAGGCGUGAAAUCCCACGGCUUAACUGUGGGGCUGCGCUUGAAACUGUAGAUCUUUAGUGAAGUAGAGGCAAGCGGAAUUCCUAGUGUAGCGGUGAAAUGCGUAGAUAUUAGGAGGAACACCAGUGGCGAAGGCGGCUUGCUGGGCUUUAACUGACGCUGAGGCACGAAAGUAUGUGGAGCAAACAGGAUUAGAUACCCUGGUA
Molecule: ribosomal RNA, 437 nt
Filed under: uncultured Clostridium sp.
Lineage: Bacteria; Bacillati; Bacillota; Clostridia; Eubacteriales; Clostridiaceae
Description: partial 16S ribosomal RNA
Rfam family: Bacterial small subunit ribosomal RNA
Source: RNAcentral